This 253-nucleotide ribosomal RNA is filed under the name uncultured bacterium. RNAcentral's name for it is "partial 16S ribosomal RNA". It matches the Rfam family "Bacterial small subunit ribosomal RNA", at positions 524 to 776 of the family's 1533-position model. The record is from RNAcentral.
UACGGGGGGGGUAAGCGUUGUUCGGAAUUACUGGGCGUAAAGGGCUCGUAGGCGGCCAACUAAGUCAUACGUGAAAUCCCUCAGCUUAACUGGGGAACUGCGUGUGAUACUGGAUGGCUUGGAUUUGGGAGAGGGAUGCGGAAUUCCAGGUGUAGCGGUGAAAUGCGUAGAUAUCAGGAGGAACACCGGUGGCGAAGGCGGGUCUCUGGGCCGAUACUGACGCUGAGGAGCGAAAGCGUGGGGAGCGAACAGG